Molecule: unclassified non-coding RNA, 144 nt
Filed under: uncultured Ascomycota
Lineage: Eukaryota; Fungi; Ascomycota
Description: sequence contains ITS1
Source: RNAcentral
CCGAGUGAGGGCUCCUAGCCCAACCUCCAACCCUGUCUUCCGACCCUGUUGCCUCGGGGGCGACCCGGCCUUCCCGGCCCCGUGCCCCCGGUGGACCACUCAACUCUGCAUCUUUGCGUCUGAGUCUGAAUAACAAAUCAAUCA